RNAcentral lists this ribosomal RNA (454 nucleotides) under uncultured bacterium. RNAcentral's name for it is "partial 16S ribosomal RNA". It matches the Rfam family "Bacterial small subunit ribosomal RNA", at positions 339 to 795 of the family's 1533-position model. The record is from RNAcentral.
CUACGGGUGGCUGCAGUGGGGGAUAUUGCACAAUGGAGGAAACUCUGAUGCAGCGACGCCGCGUGAGUGAUGAAGUAUUUCGGUAUGUAAAGCUCUAUCAGCAGGGAAGAAAGGCUCCGUAUGGAGAGAUGACGGUACCUGAGUAAGAAGCCCCGGCUAACUACGUGCCAGCAGCCGCGGUAAUACGUAGGGGGCGAGCGUUAUCCGGAUUUACUGGGUGUAAGGGAGCGCAGACGGAUUUGCAAGUCUGAUGUGAAAGCCCGGGGCUCACCCCCGGGACUGCAUUGGAAACUGUAGAUCUGGAGUAUUGGAAGGGCAAGCGGAAUUCCUGGUGUAGCGGUGAAAUGCGUAGAUAUCAGGAGGAACACCGGUGGCGAAGGCGGCUUGCUGGACAAUAACUGACGUUGAGGCUCGAAAGCGUGGGGAGCAAACAGGAUUAGAUACCCCCGUAGUC